AGGAAAUAGAUACCCGGGUAGUCCACGCCGUAAACGAUGGGCACUAGGUGCUUGGGGGAGCGACCCUCUGAGUGCCGGCGCUAAACGCAUUAAGUGCCCCGCCUGGGGAGUACGGCCGCAAGGCUGAAACUCAAAGGAAUUGACGGGGGCCCGCACAAGCGGUGGAGCAUGUGGUUUAAAUUCGACGCAACGCGAAGAACCUUACCUAGGCUUGACAUGCACGGGAAAGCUUUGAGAAACCAGAGCCCCUCUUCGGAGCUCGUGCACAGGUGCUGCAUGGCUGUCGUCAGCUCGUGUCGUGAGAUGUUGGGUUAAGUCCCGCAACGAGCGCAACCCCCGCUCCCA
RNAcentral lists this ribosomal RNA (345 nucleotides) under uncultured bacterium. RNAcentral's name for it is "bacterial SSU rRNA". It matches the Rfam family "Bacterial small subunit ribosomal RNA", at positions 774 to 1113 of the family's 1533-position model. The record is from RNAcentral.